RNAcentral lists this ribosomal RNA (513 nucleotides) under uncultured bacterium. Its description in RNAcentral is "bacterial SSU rRNA". It matches the Rfam family "Bacterial small subunit ribosomal RNA", at positions 28 to 536 of the family's 1533-position model. The record is from RNAcentral.
GAUGAACGCUAGCGGGAGGCUUAACACAUGCAAGUCGAGGGGCAGCAUAGGGUAGCAAUACUCUGAUGGCGACCGGCAAACGGGUGAGUAACGCGUAUGCAACCUACCCUGUACAGGGGGAUAACCCGGAGAAAUUCGGACUAAUAUCCCGUAAUAAUAUCCGGAGGCAUCUUUGGAUAUUUAAAGUUCCGACGGUACGGGAUGGGCAUGCGUAACAUUAACUGGUUGGUAAGGUAACGGCUUACCAAGGCUAUGAUGUUUAGGGGUCCUGAGAGGGUGGUCCCCCACACUGGUACUGAGACACGGACCAGACUCCUACGGGAGGCAGCAGUGAGGAAUAUUGGUCAAUGGGCGCAAGCCUGAACCAGCCAUCCCGCGUGCAGGAAGACGGCCCUAUGGGUUGUAAACUGCUUUUCCAGGGAGAGAAACUUACGCACGUGUUGCGUGACUGACGGUACCCUGGGAAUAAGCAUCGGCUAACUCCGUGCCAGCAGCCGCGGUAACUAGUCUACG